This 376-nucleotide ribosomal RNA is filed under the name uncultured bacterium. RNAcentral's name for it is "bacterial SSU rRNA". It matches the Rfam family "Bacterial small subunit ribosomal RNA", at positions 524 to 898 of the family's 1533-position model. The record is from RNAcentral.
UACGAAGGGUGCAAGCGUUACUCGGAAUUACUGGGCGUAAAGCGUGCGUAGGUGGUUUGUUAAGUCUGAUGUGAAAGCCCCGGGCUCAACCUGGGAAUUGCAUUGGAUACUGGCAGGCUAGAGUGCGGUAGAGGGUAGUGGAAUUCCCGGUGUAGCAGUGAAAUGCGUAGAGAUCGGGAGGAACAUCUGUGGCGAAGGCGACUGCCUGGACCAGCACUGACACUGAGGCACGAAAGCGUGGGGAGCAAACAGGAUUAGAUACCCUGGUAGUCCACGCCCUAAACGAUGCGAACUGGAUGUUGGGAGCAAUCUGGCUCUCAGUAUCGAAGCUAACGCGUUAAGUUCGCCGCCUGGGGAGUACGGUCGCAAGACUGAA